Long non-coding RNA from Astatotilapia calliptera (eastern happy), 1052 nucleotides. Lineage: Eukaryota; Metazoa; Chordata; Actinopteri; Cichliformes; Cichlidae. The record is from Ensembl.
UUGUUUCCUACGAUGGAAAUUGAUUUAUUGGUAUAAGCAGCAGCAUUAACAUGAGGUUAACACGUUAAAUCAGCGACAACAAACAUAUACGAAAUCCAUUUUUCUACAGAUUAUUAUGAAUAGCUUUUGAGUAGUGGUAAAAUAACACCAUACAGAUAUAAACUGAUCUAUACAUAAGUGUGCAAAACACUCCAACUAAAGACGUGCUAGUAUUUGCAGACACAGCACACACUCACACACACAAUAGUGCACAUUCAAAGUCACACAGGUUUACGGGUAUCUCUCAUAGAUGUAGAACAUCAGAAAGGUGCUAUUCUGUCCUGUCUCCUUCAAUUCAAAUUCAAUUUAAUAAAACUUUAUUGAUCCUGAAGGUUGACCCCGAAUGAAAUUGGGUCCUUAGCAUAUCGCUGCCAUCUUACUGGUGGCUCCAUGACAGAAAAAAAUAUUAUGUUGAUAUUCACAUAAUGGGGAGCCUACCAGCUGCAACACUUGUUUGUGACUUCUGUUGCAUUGCAUACUAACCCGUGAGUAAGACGGCAGAGAGUUUACAGCUUAUUGCUCAGUCUUUGGGUCCUUCUAGAUCAAUGGUGUUCACACAUCAAAUAGAAUAAGGCAUUAUAGUUGUUUUGUGGUGGGACACGGGUUCCACAUACAGUACUUGAUCAUCAUUUUGGGAAAUGCUCCUCUUCACUCUUCUGGCAUGGUUGAGUUGAAAAGAGAUACAGUACAAAGCUUAAGCCAUCAGUUUGUAAAUGUAACGGAUGUAAACACAGGAAGAAACUAGCAGCGAUUCAGAUUUCUGGGAAUAUGAAUGGAAUUUUGCAAACUAAUCUCAGCUUUGGCACCAGUGAUCGGCAGUGGGAUCAGUGAGGUGAUCAGCAGUGGGGGCUAGGAUUUCUGUUUCUUGACACAUGAUUGGAAAAUAUACAAAAAGGCUUACACAUGCAACAAGUGCUUUGGUUGUCCACUAGAGGCCCAUUGUGAGUAAGCCCAUAAAGCAAUGGGCUCGUAGCCUCUAAGCUCCAGGUUAGGUUAGUUCAUCUAAAUAAAAU